GCACAAUAGGCCUUGUUCUGGGGUAUGUGUUUAGCUGGUCGGUGCGGUCUAGCAAACCGGGGAUCGGGGAGAUUGGCUCUCUAAUGGCCAUCAUAUUUGGUGGCUCUAUCACUCCCUCCCUUCCGAUGGCGCAAUGCGCCAACUCCAUGACUUACUAUCUUCUUGGUCUGGCUGUCGGUUUCUUUCUGUACAUCUUGAUGGUGAGAUUCAACUGGGAGCAUUUCCCGAAGGGUGCAUGCGGCAGCGUCAG
RNAcentral lists this ribosomal RNA (250 nucleotides) under uncultured bacterium. RNAcentral describes it as "partial 16S ribosomal RNA". The record is from RNAcentral.